Molecule: transfer RNA, 77 nt
Filed under: Fasciola gigantica
Lineage: Eukaryota; Metazoa; Platyhelminthes; Trematoda; Plagiorchiida; Fasciolidae
Description: tRNA-Val
Source: RNAcentral
ACCUGGAUAGCCUGGUGGUUAAGGUGUUCGAUUCACAAUCGUUCAUCCCGGGUUUGAGUCCCAAUGGGGUCUCGGUG